Molecule: small nucleolar RNA, 67 nt
Organism: Erpetoichthys calabaricus (reedfish)
Lineage: Eukaryota; Metazoa; Chordata; Cladistia; Polypteriformes; Polypteridae
Source: Ensembl
ACGUGAAGUGAUGUUGUCAUCUUUCGGGACUGACAUGAAAUGAAGUCACCCCCAAUGCUGAUCAUUU